AUGCAUUCCUCACCUGCUAGAAUCUCCUGCGCUGAGCAGCAGCUGCCAGUGACUGCAGAGCGACACAUGCCAGAGCCUCAGAGAAGCACGUGCAAGAGAGGCUGCAGUGGACAGCCGCAGGCGCAAGGGUCCUCCUGCCAAUCAAGAGGUACUCAGUGCCUUCACAAGGAAGAGAACGGUGGAAGUGCUUUCAGCCAUCCUUGUUCCCUGAAUGUCCUACCACUUCUGAAGCUCUUUCACUGUCCAUAGCUGAGCCACUUGAUGAAAAAUCAGAGGCUGGGGCAUGGUUCAGUUGAUGAAGUGAUUGUCUAACGCACUUGAAACCCUAGAUUGGAUCUGCAACAUGGUAUAAAACUGGGUGUGGUAGUGCACUCCUGUCAGAGGUACAGGCGUGAGGACCAACAGUUCUAGGUCCAGCUUAGUUAACUGAUUUUGGGUCCAGCUUGGGCUACGUGAGUCCCUAUCUCAAAAGAACAAAUGGACAAGCGAAAAACAGCAGGGAAAAGAAAGAAGAAAGACAGGGUUCAGAGGGUAUAUGAAACAACACUUUUAGUACAACAGUUGAGCAUUUAUGUGUGCUUCCAGGGCAGCUUCAAAGAAAAGGGACGUACACACCUUCCCAGCCAUUCCCAGCCAUCCCUCGGGAGGAUUAUAGUGAUAAAUCCAGGCAAACUGACUGGAGACACAGCAUACUGAGCUGCUGCUCUAUAAUGGGCUUCCAGAAAACCUGGUAGAGCUCAGAGAGAGAGAGAGCUGUAAAUGGAGAGAGAGGAAGACAUGUGGUUGGUAAUCAUAGCUCCCCACCUAGGGUCUGAUCUCCACAGAUCAAUCCAGGGAACCCAAGUUGUCUCUAGAAGGAGCAAGGCUUCAAUAGGAUACAUCUAUUAGCAAGAAGGAGGUCACGUGUUAAAGGGGGUGUCACUUUGAAAGUUGGACUUAUCAACAGUGGGGGGAGGGUUCUCUUACUCAAAGGUUUUAUUUUUCAAACUCGUAGUCUUUCCUUUCUCUCUCUCUCUCUCUCUCUCUCACACACACACACACACACACACAAUUACAGCUGACUAAGCAGUUGCUGAGUAAAAGAUAUGCAAAGAUAAUUUACUUCUAAGUUUUCUGUGUUGGGGGACUUGAUGCUGAGCAUCCUGUAAAUAUUGCAUUGUAUAAAAAUUGCUGCUUCUCACUAUGUAAAUAUUAACAGAAGUGAAAGGAGGGCAAUGGGGAACCAGUGUGAGAAAGUACAAGAUAUGAAGAAAAUGUCAGAAAAUGUGGGCCAGACUGCACAGUUCACACAGUUAGAUAGAAAUUUUUAAAUGUAUAUUUUCCCUUUUAAAACCCUUUAAAAUGUUUUUAUGGGCAUGUGUUUAUUGCACGUGGUGUGGGUUUCAUAAAGAAUUUAUUCCAGAUGUUUACUUCCAUAUCUUUCCCUUUCCUUUCUCCCCUCCAAACCCACCAGCCUUUCCCCUCCUCCAGCUUCACUUCAGCUUCCACAUCAUAUGUUAAUGGUUUGAUAUCAUCCUAUAAAAUCUAGGAUCUAUGAAUAAGAGAGCAUGUGAUAUUUGUUUUCCUGAGUCUGGUUCUGGUUUAUUUUACUUAAUAUGAUUUCAAGUGAAACCUAUUUCACUGAAAAUAAUAUGAUUUUUCCUUCAUAAUUGAAUAAAAUAACAUUACCCAUGUAUAUGUAAAUUUUA
RNAcentral lists this long non-coding RNA (1688 nucleotides) under Mus spicilegus (steppe mouse). Its description in RNAcentral is "lncRNA (ENSMSIG00000012029.1)". The record is from RNAcentral. Lineage: Eukaryota; Metazoa; Chordata; Mammalia; Rodentia; Muridae.